This 135-nucleotide non-coding RNA is filed under the name Thiocapsa marina 5811. RNAcentral's name for it is "Bacterial small subunit ribosomal RNA". It matches the Rfam family "Bacterial small subunit ribosomal RNA", at positions 1 to 138 of the family's 1533-position model. The record is from Rfam by way of RNAcentral. Lineage: Bacteria; Pseudomonadati; Pseudomonadota; Gammaproteobacteria; Chromatiales; Chromatiaceae.
GAACUGAAGAGUUUGAUCCUGGCUCAGAUUGAACGCUGGCGGCAUGCCUAACACAUGCAAGUCGAACGCGAAAGUCCUUCGGGGCGAGUAGAGUGGCGGACGGGUGAGUAACGCAUGGGAAUCUACCUCGACGUG